Molecule: ribosomal RNA, 491 nt
Filed under: beta proteobacterium I-13
Lineage: Bacteria; Pseudomonadati; Pseudomonadota; Betaproteobacteria
Description: bacterial SSU rRNA
Rfam family: Bacterial small subunit ribosomal RNA
Source: RNAcentral
CAGCCAUCACCGCUAUAUGAUGAAGGCCUUCGGGUUGUAAAGUACUUUUGGCAGAGAAGAAAAGGUAUCUCCUAAUACGAGAUACUGCUGACGGUAUCUGCAGAAUAAGCACCGGCUAACUACGUGCCAGCAUCCGCGGUAAUACGUAGGGUGCAAGCGUUAAUCGGAAUUACUGGGCGUAAAGCGUGUGUAGGCGGUUCGGAAAGAAAGAUGUGAAAUCCCAGGGCUCAACCUUGGAACUGCAUUUUUAACUGCCGAGCUAGAGUAUGUCAGAGGGGGGUAGAAUUCCACGUGUAGCAGUGAAAUGCGUAGAUAUGUGGAGGAAUACCGAUGGCGAAGGCAGCCCCCUGGGAUAAUACUGACGCUCAGACACGAAAGCGUGGGGAGCAAACAGGAUUAGAUACCCUGGUAGUCCACGCCCUAAACGAUGUCAACUAGCUGUUGGGGCCGUUAGGCCUUAGUAGCGCAGCUAACGCGUGAAGUUGACCGCC